UCCGAGUUGACCCCGGCAGUCUCCCAUGAGUCCCCACCCGAAGUGCUGGCAACACAGGACAAGGGUUGCGCUCGUUACGGGACUUAACCCAACAUCUCACGACACGAGCUGACGACAGCCAUGCAGCACCUGUCACUCGGUUCCCGAAGGCACUCCCGCAUCUCUGCGGGAUUCCGAGGAUGUCAAAGGCAGGUAAGGUUCUUCGCGUUGCAUCGAAUUAAACCACAUGUUCCACCGCUUGUGCGGGCCCCCGUCAAUUUCUUUGAGUUUUAGCCUUGCGGCCGUACUCCCCAGGCGGGGCACUUAAUGCGUUAGCUUCGACACGGACGGAGUCGACACCGCCCACAUCUAGUGCCCAUCGUUUACGGCGUGGACUAC
Molecule: unclassified non-coding RNA, 378 nt
Filed under: uncultured bacterium
Lineage: Bacteria
Description: contains 16S-23S intergenic spacer region
Source: RNAcentral